ACAGUGGUGGUUCAGUGGUAGAAUUCUCACCUUCCAUGCGGAAGACCUGGGUUCAAUCCCCAUCCAAUGCA
Transfer RNA from Loxodonta africana (African savanna elephant), 71 nucleotides. It matches the Rfam family "tRNA". From Rfam's summary of the family: Transfer RNA (tRNA) molecules are approximately 80 nucleotides in length. Their secondary structure includes four short double-helical elements and three loops (D, anti-codon, and T loops). The record is from Rfam. NCBI's taxonomy places the organism in Eukaryota, Metazoa, Chordata, Mammalia, Proboscidea, Elephantidae.